GGGUCAGUGGGUUGGUCGUGCCACCGGUACGUACUGGUCUCACUGAUUCCUCCUUCCUGAAGAACCGUAAUGCCAUUAAUUUGGUGUUGCGGGGAAACAGGACUGUUACUUUGAAAAAAUUAGAGUGUUUAAAGCAAGCUAACGCUUGAAUACAUUAGCAUGGAAUAGUGAAAUAGGACGAUCGAUCCUAUUUUGUUGGUUUCUAGGAUUGACGUA
Molecule: ribosomal RNA, 216 nt
Filed under: Glomeromycotina sp.
Lineage: Eukaryota; Fungi; Glomeromycota
Description: partial small subunit ribosomal RNA
Rfam family: Eukaryotic small subunit ribosomal RNA (bases 40-216)
Source: RNAcentral